AGAAAUAUAGGAGCUCCAGUGGCGCAAUUGGACAGCGCGCGGUACUUAUAUGGCAGUAUGUGUGCGAGUGAUGCCGAGGUUGUGAGUUCAAUCCUCACCUGGAGCAGUAUUUUC
This is a microRNA precursor of Tursiops truncatus (common bottlenose dolphin), 114 nucleotides long. NCBI's taxonomy places the organism in Eukaryota, Metazoa, Chordata, Mammalia, Artiodactyla, Delphinidae. The record is from Ensembl.